CAGGCCUAACACAUGCAAGUCGAACGGCAGCGCGGGGAGCUUGCUCCCUGGCGGCGAGUGGCGGACGGGUGAGUAACGCGUGGGAAUCUGCCCGGUGGUGGGGGACAACCCGAGGAAACUCGGGCUAAUACCGCAUACGUCCUACGGGAGAAAGGGGGCCUCUGCUUGCAUGCUCUCGCCAUCGGAUGAGCCCGCGUCCGAUUAGCUUGUUGGUGGGGUAAUGGCCUACCAAGGCGACGAUCGGUAGCUGGUCUGAGAGGACGAUCAGCCACACUGGGACUGAGAAACGGCCCAGACUCCUGCGGGAGGCAGCAGUGGGGAAUAUUGGACAAUGGGCGCAAGCCUGAUCCAGCAAUGCCGCGUGUGUGAAGAAGGCCCUCGUUGGUUGUAAAGCACUUUCAGUGGGGAAGAAAAGCCGGGUGCCAAUACCAUCCGGCCCUGACGUUACCCACAGAAGAAGCACCGGCUAACUCUGUGCCAGCAGCCGCGGUAAUACAGAGGGUGCGAGCGUUAAUCGGAAUUACUGGGCGUAAAGGGCGCGUAGGCGGUCUGGUAAGUUGGGUGUGAAAGCCUCGGGCUUAACCUGGGAAUUGCAUUCAAUACUGCCGGACUGGAGUAUGGUAGAGGGAAGUGGAAUUCCGGGUGUAGCGGUGAAAUGCGUAGAUAUCCGGAGGAACACCAGUGGCGAAGGCGGCUUCCUGGACCAAUACUGACGCUGAGGCGCGAAAG
This 729-nucleotide ribosomal RNA is filed under the name uncultured bacterium. RNAcentral describes it as "bacterial SSU rRNA". It matches the Rfam family "Bacterial small subunit ribosomal RNA", at positions 43 to 759 of the family's 1533-position model. The record is from RNAcentral.